This 497-nucleotide ribosomal RNA is filed under the name uncultured bacterium. Its description in RNAcentral is "partial 16S ribosomal RNA". It matches the Rfam family "Bacterial small subunit ribosomal RNA", at positions 28 to 507 of the family's 1533-position model. The record is from RNAcentral.
GAUGAACGCUGGCGGCGUGCCUAAUUCAUGCAAGUCGAGCGAACAGACGAGGAGCUUGCCCCUCUGACGUUAGCGGCGGACGGGUGAGUAACACGUGGAUAACCUACCUAUAAGACUGGGAUAACUUCGGGAAACCGGAGCUAAUACCGGAUAUUAUAUUGAACCGCAUGGUUCAAUAGUGAAAGACGGUUUUGCUGUCACUUAUAGAUGGAUCCGCGAGGCAUUAGCUAGUUGGUAAGGGAACGGCAUACCAAGGCGACGAUGCGUAGCCGACCUGAGAGAAGGAACCGCGACACUGGAACGGAGACACGAUCAUGACUCCUACGAGAGGCGCCAGUAGGGCAGCUUCCGUCAUGCAGGAACGCCUGAAGCAGAAACACCGAGUGAGUGUAACGGGACUUGGGAUCUGCAAGCUGUGUUAUGAGGGAGGAAAAAAUGUGUAAGUAUAUAAGCACGUCUUGACGGUACCUAAGCAGAAAGCCACGGCUAACUACGUG